RNAcentral lists this ribosomal RNA (253 nucleotides) under uncultured bacterium. RNAcentral's name for it is "partial 16S ribosomal RNA". It matches the Rfam family "Bacterial small subunit ribosomal RNA", at positions 524 to 776 of the family's 1533-position model. The record is from RNAcentral.
AACGUAGGACGCAAGCGUUAUCCGGAGUUACUGGGCGUAAAGCGCUAGUAGGCGGCUCGACAAGUUCGAUGUGAAAGCGCCCGGCUCAACCGGGCGAGGCCAUUGGAAACUAUCGAGCUGGAGGGCAGUAGAGGCAGGCGGAAUUCCGGGUGGAGUGGUGAAAUGCGUAGAGAUCCGGAGGAACACCAGAGGCGAAGGCGGCCUGCUGGGCUGAACCUGACGCUGAGCCGCGAAAGCCAGGGGAGCGAACGGG